This 71-nucleotide transfer RNA is filed under the name Loxodonta africana (African savanna elephant). It matches the Rfam family "tRNA". Rfam says of the family: Transfer RNA (tRNA) molecules are approximately 80 nucleotides in length. The record is from Rfam by way of RNAcentral. Lineage: Eukaryota; Metazoa; Chordata; Mammalia; Proboscidea; Elephantidae.
GCAGUGGUGGUUCAGUGGUAGAAUUCUUGCCUUCUAUAGAGGAGACCCAGGUUUGAUUCCUGGCCAGCGCA